GGAUAACUUCAGGAAACGUGGGGCUAAUACCGGAUAGGAGCUCCUGCUGCAUGGUGGGGGUUGGAAAGUUUCGGCGGUUGGGGAUGGACUCGCGGCUUAUCAGCUUGUUGGUGGGGUAGUGGCUUACCAAGGCUUUGACGGGUAGCCGGCCUGAGAGGGUGACCGGCCACAUUGGGACUGAGAUACGGCCCAG
Molecule: ribosomal RNA, 193 nt
Filed under: uncultured Actinomycetales bacterium
Lineage: Bacteria; Bacillati; Actinomycetota; Actinomycetes; Actinomycetales
Description: partial 16S ribosomal RNA
Rfam family: Bacterial small subunit ribosomal RNA
Source: RNAcentral